CGUAAAGCGCGUGCAGGCGGCUUGGUAGGUUGGACGUGAAAGCUCCCGGCUCAACUGGGAGAGGCCGUUCAAUACCGCCAGGCUUGAGGGCGGAAGAGGGGAGUGGAAUUCCCGGUGUAGUGGUGGAAUGCGUAGAUAUCGGGAGGAACACCUGUGGCGAAGGCGGCUCCCUGGUCCGUUCCUGACGCUAAGACGCGAAAGCGUGGGGAGCGAACGGGAUUAGAUACCCCGGUAGUCCACGCUGUAAACGAUGGAUGCUAGGUGUGGGUGGUAUUGACCCCAUCCGUGCCGUAGCUAACGCGUUAAGCAUCCCGCCUGGGGACUACGGCCGCAAGGUUAAAACUCAAAGGAAUUGACGGGGGCCCGCACAAGCAGCGGAGCGUGUGGUUUAAUUCGAUGCUACGCGAAGAACCUUACCUGGGCUUGACAUGCACGUAGUAGUGAAGCGAAAGUGGAACGACCCUUCGGGGAGCGUGCACAGGUGCUGCAUGGCUGUCGUCAGCUCGUGUCGUGAGAUGUUGGGUUAAGUCCCGCAACGAGCGCAACCCUCGCUGUUAGUUACAUGUGUCUAACGGGACUGCCGGUAUCAAACCGGAGGAAGGUGGGGAUGACGUCAAGUCAGCAUGGCCUUUAUGUCCGGGGCUACACACACGCUACAAUGGUCGGUACAAUGGGCAGCCACACUGCGAAGUGGAGCUAAUCCUCAAAGCCGGCCUCAGUUCAGAUUGCAGUCUGCAACUCGACUGCAUGAAG
RNAcentral lists this ribosomal RNA (753 nucleotides) under uncultured Chloroflexota bacterium. Its description in RNAcentral is "bacterial SSU rRNA". It matches the Rfam family "Bacterial small subunit ribosomal RNA", at positions 559 to 1325 of the family's 1533-position model. The record is from RNAcentral. Lineage: Bacteria; Bacillati; Chloroflexota.